RNAcentral lists this ribosomal RNA (590 nucleotides) under uncultured fungus. RNAcentral's name for it is "eukaryotic LSU rRNA". It matches the Rfam family "Eukaryotic large subunit ribosomal RNA", at positions 72 to 647 of the family's 3401-position model. The record is from RNAcentral. Lineage: Eukaryota; Fungi.
GGAUUCCCCUAGUAACUGCGAGUGAAGCGGGAAAAGCUCAAAUUUAAAAUCUGGCGGUUUUGCCGUCCGAGUUGUAAUUUAGAGAAGUGUUACCCGCGCUGGACCGUGUACAAGUCUCCUGGAAUGGAGCGUCAUAGAGGGUGAGAAUCCCGUCUUUGACACGGACUACCAGGGCAUUGUGGUGCGCUCUCGAAGAGUCGAGUUGUUUGGGAAUGCAGCUCAAAAUGGGUGGUAAAUUCCAUCUAAAGCUAAAUAUUGGGGAGAGACCGAUAGCGAACAAGUACCGUGAGGGAAAGAUGAAAAGAACUUUGGAAAGAGAGUUAAACAGUACGUGAAAUUGCUGAAAGGGAAACGCUUGAAGUCAGUCGCGUUGUUCAGGAUUCAGCCUUGCUUUUGCUUGGUGUACUUCCUGUUCGACGGGUCAGCAUCAGUUUUGGCCGGUGGAAAAAGGCUCAGAGAAUGUGGCACCUUCGGGUGUGUUAUAGCUCUGGGUCACAUACAUCGGCUGGGACUGAGGAACUCAGCACGCCGCAAGGCCGGGUCUCGUACCACGUUCGUGCUUAGGAUGCUGGCAUAAUGGCUUUAAUCGA